Molecule: ribosomal RNA, 225 nt
Filed under: Triticum aestivum (bread wheat)
Lineage: Eukaryota; Viridiplantae; Streptophyta; Magnoliopsida; Poales; Poaceae
Description: partial small subunit ribosomal RNA
Source: RNAcentral
AUGCUGUCAUGUCGGCUCUGUGAUCCAGAGACAGGCGAGUGCCCUGUCCGGUAUGAUGUGCAGUCCGAGGACCUGCCAGUGCUGGACGACAAGGUUGCUGCCGUGCUUGGCUGCAUGCUGGCAUUGCUGAACCAAGGUAGGACAGAGGUGCUUGCAGGACGGUCAGGUGUCGCGAGCGCGCGAUGGAUAGGAUUCCACCACUGGCCUUGUUCCGUGGUGAUAUGA